RNAcentral lists this ribosomal RNA (513 nucleotides) under uncultured bacterium. RNAcentral describes it as "bacterial SSU rRNA". It matches the Rfam family "Bacterial small subunit ribosomal RNA", at positions 791 to 1310 of the family's 1533-position model. The record is from RNAcentral.
UAGUCCACGCCGUAAACGAUGGAUACUAGCUGUUCGAACUUCGGUUUGAGUGGCUAAGCGAAAGUGAUAAGUAUCCCACCUGGGGAGUACGUUCGCAAGAAUGAAACUCAAAGGAAUUGACGGGGGCCCGCACAAGCGGUGGAGCAUGUGGUUUAAUUCGAUGAUACGCGAGGAACCUUACCAGGGCUUAAAUGUAAGUUGACAGGAGUGGAAACACUUUUUUCUUCGGACAAUUUACAAGGUGCUGCAUGGUUGUCGUCAGCUCGUGCCGUGAGGUGUCAGGUUAAGUCCUAUAACGAGCGCAACCCCUGUUGUUAGUUGCCAGCGAGUCAAGUCGGGAACUCUAACAAGACUGUCGGUGCAAACCGUGAGGAAGGUGGGGAUGACGUCAAAUCAUCACGGCCCUUACGUCCUGGGCUACACACGUGCUACAAUGGUAGGUACAGAGAGCAGCCACUGCGUGAGCAGGAGCGAAUCUACAAAACCUAUCUCAGUUCGGAUCGGAGUCUGCAA